RNAcentral lists this transfer RNA (89 nucleotides) under Accumulibacter sp. RNAcentral describes it as "tRNA-Ser". It matches the Rfam family "tRNA". From Rfam's summary of the family: Transfer RNA (tRNA) molecules are approximately 80 nucleotides in length. Their secondary structure includes four short double-helical elements and three loops (D, anti-codon, and T loops). The record is from RNAcentral. Lineage: Bacteria; Pseudomonadati; Pseudomonadota; Betaproteobacteria.
GGAAGCGUGGCAGAGUGGUCGAUUGCACCGGUUUUGAAAACCGGCGACGGGCAACCCGUCCGUGAGUUCGAAUCUCACCGCUUCCGCCA